UCUUGCAGUUGCAGCAGACCAGCUACAGCAGCUCUCAACCGAUGCAUGGACAUGACGCUCUCGAAUAAAAUCCACAGUGGCACUGUGUGCAGAUUUCUGGAGUGAAAAGACAGUUAUGGCAAAUCAAAUUCAUCCAAAAGGUGACAAUCAGGAGUGCUGUAGGAAUGUAGGCAACGCCCCAGAUUGGCAGGAAGAGCUCUGGGAUCAUGACCGACACAGGGAUGAUAACAUUGUAGAGAAUAAAGGCAACAGCAGGGGCAACAACUCUCCUCACCAGGAAGAAGCUAUACAGUAUGUAGAUCUUCUUCAAGGAUGACACUUUCUGACGGAGCAACAGUGGCAGGUUAUGUUUUAUGCAGAUUUACUUGUUCUGGUUCAUCAAAAAAGGAGAAGAAAUGGUACCUUGGCAACCAAGACAUCCCAUAUCAUCUUUCGGAACAAGUUUGCACCGCCACAAGACCACCGGAACUGUUGUCGGCAGUAUGCUUUAUAAGUGGAUGGAAGCUCACUCUUUACCUGUGACGUAUUUGCUUUAUCAGAUGCUAUCGUCGAGUGAUUGAACAGAACAAAUUAAGGAUUCGGUCUUCUUACUCUGAGGUCCCCUAAAUAGAUGAAUUUCCAUCCCUUUAAGGUUGCUCGGACAGCCAAGUCCAUGUCUUCAACUGUAGUUCGAUCCUUCCAACCUCCUGCGUCAUUGAUAGCUUCUGUGCGCCAUACACCAGCGGUCCCUAACAAGGUACCAGUGUUUAGGAGACUAUCACCAUGUUCCUUUUGUGAUCUACAUAAAACAUGAACAGUCGAGGUGUGCACCAUUGAAACUGAAGAAAGCAAAUGUAGCCGAUCCUGCCUCCUGCUCAGCUUUGAAGUGGUAAUCAAGGAAUGUCUUCUGUAUCCUUGUCAGUAGGCUUACUCUGUCAUUCAC
This is a non-coding RNA of Oryza sativa Japonica Group (Japanese rice), 922 nucleotides long. The record is from RefSeq and is a predicted model, not a curated record. NCBI's taxonomy places the organism in Eukaryota, Viridiplantae, Streptophyta, Magnoliopsida, Poales, Poaceae.